RNAcentral lists this unclassified non-coding RNA (234 nucleotides) under Hevea brasiliensis (rubber tree). The record is from RNAcentral. Lineage: Eukaryota; Viridiplantae; Streptophyta; Magnoliopsida; Malpighiales; Euphorbiaceae.
CUCAGGAGUCUAAAUUCAAGAGCUGUAGCAUAUAAAUCCUCCCUCAUCCGUGUAUUUUCGUAGCUAUCAUGGGUGUAAAUGCUCAUCAAAAUUCUCUUUAUUUCAUCUUCAAAGUGAUAAGCUAAUCCAAGUCUUUGCAAGGUAUCAAUUAGUUGGAGCUGAUCCAAAGGAUUCACAGCUUGCUUAAGCAUCAGCCUCACCUCUUCCUUCAGCUUAUUGAUUCGUUUUGUGCAC